Molecule: ribosomal RNA, 651 nt
Filed under: Endogone sp.
Lineage: Eukaryota; Fungi; Mucoromycota; Endogonomycetes; Endogonales; Endogonaceae
Description: eukaryotic LSU rRNA
Rfam family: Eukaryotic large subunit ribosomal RNA
Source: RNAcentral
CGGCGAGUGAAGCGGGAAAAGCUCAAAUUUUAAAUCUGAUAGGGUUCCCUAUCCGAGUUGUAGUUUCAAGAAACGUUUUCGGUUCGCGCCUGGGUAUAAGUCCUUUGGAACAGGGCAUCAUAGAGGGUGAGAAUCCCGUUUAUGACUCGGAGCGGCAAACUAUGUGAUACGUUUUCAAAGAGUCAGGUUGUUUGGGAAUGCAGCCUAAAAUGGGUGGUAAAUUUCAUCUAAAGCUAAAUAUUGGCGAGAGACCGAUAGCGAACAAGUACCGUGAGGGAAAGAUGAAAAGAACUUUGAAAAGAGAGUUAAACAGUACGUGAAAUUGUUGAAAGGGAAACGUUUGAAAUCAGUCAUGUAGGUGAGUAAUCAACUUGGCCUUUUAAAGGGCCUUGUGCACUUUCUCACAUACAGGUCAGCGUCAGUUUUGGUGGUCGGAUAAAAGCCAAGGGAAUGUGGCCCCUCCGGGGGGUGUUAUAGCCCUGGUCGAUACGAUGGCCGGGACUGAGGUCUGCAGCCGAUACCUUUUGUGGGCUGGGUUAUUUCCUUUUAACUCGUAGGUGACCGAGCUUAGACAGCUUGCUGACUAGGUUCGUCUCGCCUGCGACUUUGGGAUUUUUUUACCACAAAUCGGCUUAGGUCGCUGACUUAAUG